RNAcentral lists this ribosomal RNA (403 nucleotides) under uncultured bacterium. Its description in RNAcentral is "bacterial SSU rRNA". It matches the Rfam family "Bacterial small subunit ribosomal RNA", at positions 355 to 774 of the family's 1533-position model. The record is from RNAcentral.
UAGGGAAUAUUGCAAAAUGGGCGAAAGCCCGAUGCAGCAACGCCGCGUGGGCGAUGAAGGCCUUCGGGUCGUAAAGCCCUUUUUGAGGGGAUGAGGAAGGACAGUACCCUCAGAAUAAGCCUCGGCUAACUACGUGCCAGCAGCCGCGGUAAAACGUAGGAGGCGAGCGUUAUCCGGAUUUACUGGGCGUAAAGCGCGUGCAGGCGGAUUGGAGAGUUGGAUGUGAAAGCUCCCGGCUUAACUGGGAGAGGUCGUUCAAAACUACAAGACUUGAGAUUGGUAGAGGAAAAUGGAAUUCCGGGUGUAGUGGUGAAAUGCGUAGAUAUCCGGAGGAACACCAGUGGCGAAAGCGGUUUUCUGGACCAAUUCUGACACUCAGAUGCGAAAGCUAAGGUAGCAAACG